UGGGGAAUAUUGCACAAUGGGCGCAAGCCUGAUGCAGCCAUGCCGCGUGUGUGAAGAAGGCCUUCGGGUUGUAAAGCACUUUCAGCGAGGAGGAAGGUGGUGGACUUAAUACGUUCAUCAAUUGACGUUACUCGCAGAAGAAGCACCGGCUAACUCCGUGCCAGCAGCCGCGGUAAUACGGAGGGUGCAGGCGUUAAUCGGAAUUACUGGGCGUAAAAGCGCACGCAGGCGGUUUGUUAAGUCAGAUGUGAAAUCCCCGGGCUCAACCUGGGAACUGCAUUUGAAACUGGCAAGCUAGAGUCUCGUAGAGGGGGGUAGAAAUUCCAGGUGUAGCGGUGAAAUGCGUAGAGAUCUGGAGGAAUACCGGUGGCGAAGGCGGCCCCCCUGGACGAAGACUGACGCUCAGGUGCGAAAAGCGUGGGGAGCAAAACAGGAUUAGAUACCCUGGUAGUCCACGCUGUAAAACGAUGUCGAUUUUGGAGGUUGUGCCCUUGAGGCGUGGCUUCCGGAGCUAACGCGUUAAAUCGACCGCCU
RNAcentral lists this ribosomal RNA (534 nucleotides) under uncultured bacterium. RNAcentral's name for it is "partial 16S ribosomal RNA". It matches the Rfam family "Bacterial small subunit ribosomal RNA", at positions 355 to 874 of the family's 1533-position model. The record is from RNAcentral.